Molecule: ribosomal RNA, 670 nt
Filed under: uncultured Bacilli bacterium
Lineage: Bacteria; Bacillati; Bacillota; Bacilli
Description: bacterial SSU rRNA
Rfam family: Bacterial small subunit ribosomal RNA
Source: RNAcentral
AGUUGCGAACGAGUGAGUAACGCGUAGGUAACCUGCCUGGUAGCGGGGGAUAACUAUUGGAAACGAUAGCUAAUACCGCAUAACAGUAGAUAUUGCAUGAUAUCUGCUUGAAAGGUGCAAUUGCAUCACUACCAGAUGGACCUGCGUUGUAUUAGCUAGUUGGUGAGGUAACGGCUCACCAAGGCGACGAUACAUAGCCGACCUGAGAGGGUGAUCGGCCACACUGGGACUGAGACACGGCCCAGACUCCUACGGGAGGCAGCAGUAGGGAAUCUUCGGCAAUGGACGGAAGUCUGACCGAGCAACGCCGCGUGAGUGAAGAAGGUUUUCGGAUCGUAAAGCUCUGUUGUAAGAGAAGAACGAGUGUGAGAGUGGAAAGUUCACACUGUGACGGUAUCUUACCAGAAAGGGACGGCUAACUACGUGCCAGCAGCCGCGGUAAUACGUAGGUCCCGAGCGUUGUCCGGAUUUAUUGGGCGUAAAGCGAGCGCAGGCGGUUAGAUAAGUCUGAAGUUAAAGGCUGUGGCUUAACCAUAGUACGCUUUGGAAACUGUUUAACUUGAGUGCAAGAGGGGAGAGUGGAAUUCCAUGUGUAGCGGUGAAAUGCGUAGAUAUAUGGAGGAACACCGGUGGCGAAAGCGGCUCUCUGGGCUUGUAACUGACGCUGAGG